Molecule: long non-coding RNA, 452 nt
Organism: Gallus gallus (chicken)
Lineage: Eukaryota; Metazoa; Chordata; Aves; Galliformes; Phasianidae
Source: Ensembl
GUACAAUAAAAUGAGGUUUAAUGGGUCUUACAGGGAAGCAAAAGUAAAAUGUCCUUAGAGAGCCAAUUACUAGAAGGUAACUGGAGUUGUUGUUCUGCUUGUCUGAUAAAUGAGGGCGGGUGACAGCUCCAAGUGUGUGCACAAAGUCCAGUCUGUAUCUCAAGUACAAAGCUCCACUACAAAUCAUACUCUGGAGAAGAGUAAGUGUAGUUAAGACGUUCUCCUGUGCAACUUCUUACCUUCCUGAACUGCCAUUUACCAUCAGUAGAUCUUCACAGAUCAAACUUCUCACUGCACGCAGAAUUCCUGCUUCUGUGUCGGGAUCAAAAAGCUAAGAAGAACUCACUGUGAGUUUGGUAGAGCUAUCUCAUUAAGUGGACAAUAAGUUAGAGUUCAGUGACUCCCGAGUCAGAGUGAUUUGGUGUGGUACUGAAAACAGCUUGUGAAGUUGU